This 427-nucleotide ribosomal RNA is filed under the name uncultured Steroidobacter sp. RNAcentral's name for it is "partial 16S ribosomal RNA". It matches the Rfam family "Bacterial small subunit ribosomal RNA", at positions 355 to 774 of the family's 1533-position model. Lineage: Bacteria; Pseudomonadati; Pseudomonadota; Gammaproteobacteria; Steroidobacterales; Steroidobacteraceae. The record is from RNAcentral.
UGGGGAAUAUUGGACAAUGGGGGAAACCCUGAUCCAGCGACGCCGCGUGGGUGAAGAAGGCCUGCGGGUUGUAAAGCCCUUUCGGUAGGGACGAAAGCUCUCGACCUAACACGUCGAGAGGAUGACUUAACCUACAAAAGAAGCACCGGCUAACUCUGUGCCAGCAGCCGCGGUAAUACAGAGGGUGCGAGCGUUAAUCGGAAUUACUGGGCGUAAAGCGCACGUAGGCGGCUUGGUAUGUCGGGUGUGAAAUCCCCGGGCUCAACCUGGGAACUGCAUCCGAAACUGCCUUGCUAGAGUAUGGGAGAGGGAAGUGGAAUUUCCGGUGUAGCGGUGAAAUGCGUAGAUAUCGGAAGGAACAUCAGUGGCGAAGGCGACUUCCUGGACCAAUACUGACGCUCAGGUGCGAAAGCGUGGGGAGCAAACA